This is a small nucleolar RNA of Pteronotus mesoamericanus, 100 nucleotides long. RefSeq annotates it as small nucleolar RNA U13. NCBI's taxonomy places the organism in Eukaryota, Metazoa, Chordata, Mammalia, Chiroptera, Mormoopidae. The record is from RefSeq and is a predicted model, not a curated record. The transcript has a single exon.
AUGUGUCGUUCAUACACAUGAUGAUUGAGUGUUCACGCUGUUGUAUGAGUUGUGCCUCCCCCAAAACUUAUUACAACAUGGGCACAUUACCCAUGUAACA